Molecule: ribosomal RNA, 284 nt
Filed under: uncultured bacterium
Lineage: Bacteria
Description: partial 16S ribosomal RNA
Rfam family: Bacterial small subunit ribosomal RNA
Source: RNAcentral
AAGCCUACGGGAGGCAGCAGUGAGGAAUAUUGGUCAAUGGCCGGGAGGCUGAACCAGCCAAGUCGCGUGAGGGAAGACGGCCCUACGGGUUGUAAACCUCUUUUGUCAGGGAGCAAGGUGCAGGUCGGGACCUGCUGUGAGAGUACCUGAAGAAAAAGCAUCGGCUAACUCCGUGCCAGCAGCCGCGGUAAUACGGAGGAUGCGCGCGUUAUCAGGAUUUAUUGGGUUUAAAGGGCGCGCAGGCGGAGGCACAAGUCAGAGGUAAAAUCGCGGGGCUCAACACC